This 1408-nucleotide ribosomal RNA is filed under the name Promethearchaeota archaeon. RNAcentral's name for it is "bacterial SSU rRNA". It matches the Rfam family "Archaeal small subunit ribosomal RNA". Lineage: Archaea; Promethearchaeati; Promethearchaeota. The record is from RNAcentral.
UUAAUUCCGGUUGAUCCUGCCGGACCCGACUGCUAUUUGGGUGAGGAUAAGCCAUGCGAGUUGAAUGGGAUACCUAAAGUUCCCAUGGCAAACUGCUCAGUAACACAUGAUCAACUUGCCCUAUAGAGAAAAAUAACCUCGGGAAACUGAGGAUAAUGUUUCAUAACUGAAUUGGCUUGGAAAAGUUUUUCAGUGAAAGGGAUAAAAUAAAUGGUUUUUAUCUGCUAUAGGAUAGGAUCGUGUUCGAUUAUGGUUGUUGGUGAGGUAAUGGCUCACCAAGCCGAUAAUCGAUAGGGGCCGUGAGAGCGGGAGCCCCGAGAUGGGUACUGAGACAACGACCCAGGCCUUACGAGGCGCAGCAGGCGCGAAACCUCCGCAAUACACGAAAGUGUGACGGGGUUACCCAAAGUGUUCAAUUUUGAACUGUGGUAGGUGAGUAAUGUUCCCUACUAGAAAGGAGAGGGCAAGGCUGGUGCCAGCCGCCGCGGUAAAACCAGCUCUUCAAGUGGUCGGGAUAAUUAUUGGGCUUAAAGUGUCCGUAGCCGGUUUAGUAAGUUCCUGGUAAAAUCGGGUAGCUUAACUAUCUAUAUGCUAGGAAUACUACUAUACUAGAGGGCGGGAGAGGUCUGAGGUACUACAGGGGUAGGGGUGAAAUCUUAUAAUCCUUGUAGGACCACCAGUGGCGAAGGCGUCAGACUGGAACGCGCCUGACGGUGAGGGACGAAAGCCAGGGGAGCGAACCGGAUUAGAUACCCGGGUAGUCCUGGCCGUAAACGAUGCAUACUAGGUGAUGGCACGGCCAUGAGCCGUGUCAGUGCCGUAGGGAAACCGUUAAGUGUGCCGCCUGGGAAGUACGGUCGCAAGGCUAAAACUUAAAGGAAUUGGCGGGGGAGCACCACAAGGGGUGAAGCCUGCGGUUCAAUUGGACUCAACNNNNNNNNNNGUGAGGUAUCCUGUUAAGUCAGGCAACGAACGAGAUCCGCACCUUUAUUUGCCACCAAGAAGUCACGACUUCGUUGGGAACACUAAAGGGACCGCCGUCGAUAAGACGGAUGAAGGAGCGGGCAAAGGCAGGUCAGUAUGCCCCGAAACCCCUGGGCUACACGCGGGCUGCAAUGGUAUGAACAAUGGGCUGUGACUCCGAAAGGAGAAACCAAUCCCGAAAUCAUAUCUCAGUUGGAAUUGUCGGCUGUAACCCGCCGACAUGAACGCGGAAUCCCUAGUAAUCGUGUGUCAUCAUCGCACGGUGAAUACGUCUCUGCUCCUUGCACACACCGCCCGUCGCUCCAUCCGAGUGUGCUAAAAAUGAGGUUUGGUCAAAUUGGUCAUAUCGAGUUUCUAGUACGCGAGGAGGGAGAAGUCGUAACAAGGUAGCCGUAGGGGAACCUGCGGCUGGAUCACCUCCUAU